Long non-coding RNA from Lycium barbarum (goji berry), 1103 nucleotides. RefSeq lists it as uncharacterized. The transcript is spliced from 2 exons. Lineage: Eukaryota; Viridiplantae; Streptophyta; Magnoliopsida; Solanales; Solanaceae. The record is from RefSeq and is a predicted model, not a curated record.
GUGGACAGCUGCAAAAGCAACAAAAUGUUGCCAGUUUUUCUGCAGAAAAACCGACCUCAUGAGGUCGGUUAUCUUAAUAUCAUUUUCCAGAUUUUUAAGAAACCAACCUCAUGAAGUCGGUUGUGUUCAUAUCAUUUUCCAGAUUUUAAAGAAACCGACCACAUGAGGUCGGUAAAUAAAUUACAUUUUGGAGAAACCGACCUCAUUAGGUCGGUUCCUAAUAAUCACUAUUCAUAAAUUUAUAAUUACCGACCACAUAUGGUCGGUUUUCUUAAGAAAAAAUAUAUAUUAACCUAAUAUUCCAACCACAUGUAGUCGGUAACACAAAAAAAAAAAAAACAACAAAAUUUCAAUAUAUCGACCACAUGAGGUUGGUAUUUUAAAAAAUAAACGAAAAAUAAUAUAAUUUUUCCGACCUCACGUGGUCGCUAAUACUUUUGUCGAUUUUUUUUUUUUUUAAUAUAGUGAUCUCAUGAGGUCGGUAUAUUAAUUUUCUUUUAUUUUUGGCCGAAUUGCUUACCGACCACAUGAGGUCAGUAAGAAUAUGCGACCUGCUCUUUCCGGACCUACUGAUGAGGUUGGUUUUGAGGUCUCAUUUUUUUCAAAAUCGACCUCAUGAGGUCGGAAAAAAUGAUUUUUUAAGGUCGCUUUUCAGCAGGUUUUUGGUAGUCUAGUUCUUGAUUAUGUUUUAUUUUUAACGCAUUAAUUAAAAUAAAGAAAGAGAAAUGAAAUCAAUACUUCUUGUGGCGACUUGCGAAAUUCCUGUCAAGGCCAAAUUCGUAAGAGUCUAUAUGAUCCAAGUUAUGCUGAGAAAGGUCAACCAGUGAAUCCUGUCUUACGCUCUCUGCAGUUGAACCUAGACUUGACAAUAAUGAAGGUAACAACUAUGGAACAGACUGAGCCGGCUAGAGAUUUGAAGAUUCAUUUUGAAAAUAUAAAGAACAAAUGACGGUUCAUGAUGAAUAUUUUUAUUUUUUUUGUUUUGUUCAUUUUUUCCAAUUACUCCAUGCUACUUAGCUUGUAAAACUGUGCUACUUAGCUCGUAAAACCAUCAAUAGCUACUCCUCUAAGGAUAGAAGUUCAGACCUUUUGAGUCUAGUUGA